Molecule: ribosomal RNA, 1522 nt
Filed under: Salmonella enterica
Lineage: Bacteria; Pseudomonadati; Pseudomonadota; Gammaproteobacteria; Enterobacterales; Enterobacteriaceae
Also listed under: 2 other names
Description: bacterial SSU rRNA
Rfam family: Bacterial small subunit ribosomal RNA
Source: RNAcentral
AGAGUUUGAUCAUGGCUCAGAUUGAACGCUGGCGGCAGGCCUAACACAUGCAAGUCGAACGGUAACAGGAAGCAGCUUGCUGCUUUGCUGACGAGUGGCGGACGGGUGAGUAAUGUCUGGGAAACUGCCUGAUGGAGGGGGAUAACUACUGGAAACGGUGGCUAAUACCGCAUAACGUCGCAAGACCAAAGAGGGGGACCUUCGGGCCUCUUGCCAUCAGAUGUGCCCAGAUGGGAUUAGCUAGUUGGUGAGGUAACGGCUCACCAAGGCGACGAUCCCUAGCUGGUCUGAGAGGAUGACCAGCCACACUGGAACUGAGACACGGUCCAGACUCCUACGGGAGGCAGCAGUGGGGAAUAUUGCACAAUGGGCGCAAGCCUGAUGCAGCCAUGCCGCGUGUAUGAAGAAGGCCUUCGGGUUGUAAAGUACUUUCAGCGGGGAGGAAGGUGUUGUGGUUAAUAACCGCAGCAAUUGACGUUACCCGCAGAAGAAGCACCGGCUAACUCCGUGCCAGCAGCCGCGGUAAUACGGAGGGUGCAAGCGUUAAUCGGAAUUACUGGGCGUAAAGCGCACGCAGGCGGUCUGUCAAGUCGGAUGUGAAAUCCCCGGGCUCAACCUGGGAACUGCAUUCGAAACUGGCAGGCUUGAGUCUUGUAGAGGGGGGUAGAAUUCCAGGUGUAGCGGUGAAAUGCGUAGAGAUCUGGAGGAAUACCGGUGGCGAAGGCGGCCCCCUGGACAAAGACUGACGCUCAGGUGCGAAAGCGUGGGGAGCAAACAGGAUUAGAUACCCUGGUAGUCCACGCCGUAAACGAUGUCUACUUGGAGGUUGUGCCCUUGAGGCGUGGCUUCCGGAGCUAACGCGUUAAGUAGACCGCCUGGGGAGUACGGCCGCAAGGUUAAAACUCAAAUGAAUUGACGGGGGCCCGCACAAGCGGUGGAGCAUGUGGUUUAAUUCGAUGCAACGCGAAGAACCUUACCUGGUCUUGACAUCCACAGAACUUUCCAGAGAUGGACUGGUGCCUUCGGGAACUGUGAGACAGGUGCUGCAUGGCUGUCGUCAGCUCGUGUUGUGAAAUGUUGGGUUAAGUCCCGCAACGAGCGCAACCCUUAUCCUUUGUUGCCAGCGGUUAGGCCGGGAACUCAAAGGAGACUGCCAGUGAUAAACUGGAGGAAGGUGGGGAUGACGUCAAGUCAUCAUGGCCCUUACGACCAGGGCUACACACGUGCUACAAUGGCGCAUACAAAGAGAAGCGACCUCGCGAGAGCAAGCGGACCUCAUAAAGUGCGUCGUAGUCCGGAUUGGAGUCUGCAACUCGACUCCAUGAAGUCGGAAUCGCUAGUAAUCGUGGAUCAGAAUGCCACGGUGAAUACGUUCCCGGGCCUUGUACACACCGCCCGUCACACCAUGGGAGUGGGUUGCAAAAGAAGUAGGUAGCUUAACCUUCGGGAGGGCGCUUACCACUUUGUGAUUCAUGACUGGGGUGAAGUCGUAACAAGGUAACCGUAGGGGAACCUGCGGUUG